CAAGGAGGUGGGGAGGAGGGGAGUGGUGCUGCUUUCUCACUGGCCGCGCUGAGCUGUCGCUCAAAGAGCGCGAGCCCGCCCCCAGCUCGCAACCCCGCGGGCGCGGGGGAAGGGGGCCUGUUGCUGAUUGGCUGGGCGCUUGGAAUGACGUAGAGGAUCUGGCUUUAUGUGCAGAUGAGAAAUGUGCAAGGCUUUUUCUCCAUUUCAAUACUGAUGUCCAGAAGAAUCCAUAGAGUACUUGUGUAGAAAGGUGGUUAUAUUGUACCUCGAGUACAUGAAUUAACUGCUGCAUUGCAAGAUUUCAGUCUCCUGGGAUCUGGACUGAAACCACGCAACUUGUUCAGAUAGAUCACCAAUUACAGUAUGUGCUCAAAUCCAAGAUGAAGUUUAUUUCUCCACUGAACAUGUGGAAACAUCUUACAUUCAAGUCCAGGACUGUGCUGGGGCCGGAGCUGCUGCUGCUGCUACUGCCUGGUGAAGGCUGUGUUGGCUUAUGCAGCAGGGGACAGUGCGGUAGACUGCACAGUGGUAGGGGAAUUUCUCUGGACCUGGCUCCAGCCCCAGCCCUGGCUUUGACCAUAGACAACUGAUAGGGGGUGCACAUGCCCCCCCAUCGGGGCCAGUGUCCCCCCUGACAGCCAACACUGAUGCUGUCAGUAGGGCUGGUGCCCCCCCUGACAGGGACGCCACUGUCAGCGGCUUCUGCGGGUGCCCCCCAGAUUCAGGAGGCACCAGUCACUCAUGGCCUUGACCCUGACACAGUCCCAUUGGGUGCAUCUAUAUGUAUGUUUUACUGCAGAGUAAACUAAAUAGCUCCACAAUAAAGCAUCAACAUCUAUGCAUGCACCAGUUUUAGGCUGCAGUAAGCUAAUUAACUCUGCCAUAAGAGUACUGUUGGGGACAGUACUAUUUUAUGACAAGAGUCAUUACGUGCAAUUAAAUGCACAUUUAGAUGGUGACCGCAGCCGUAAAUAGUGCCCAAACAGCCUAGUCAGCCAGGGACCAGACUUCUGCCUCACUCUUGUACCCCAGCCAGCCCCUCUACCUCCAGAUACCACCACCUAGAGCCCAGGGUGACCCCCCCCCAUUGACCUCUGCCAGCUUGGGCCUUCUCUGCCCCAGCUCAAAUUGUUGCUGUUCCAGGAGCGCAUGUAGACGCUGCAAUCAAGAGCAGUUUUCUCUGGCUCAAAGUGCUUUGGAGUUUAUUGCAUUGCCUUAAUUGCUUGUGUAGAUGUCUCCACUGGGUGCUCCAGACCAGAGCUGGAGUCAGAGCCCUCAUAAGGGAAGUGGCAGCAUGGGGAGCAAGUGCUGGGGGUGAAAGAGCAGCAGGGGGGCAGGCACCUGCUUCCCUGCCACUCACCUUUUCGCCACCCUGCUGCUUUCCUCCCUAUAGUGGUAUGGCAGGAUUAGUAAAAUGACCUUCCAGUACUUAGAUUCUAUACAUGGACAAUUAUAAUACAUUCAUAAUUUUCCAUGUAUAGAAACUAAUUAUUUGGGGAGAAAAUGCUAGGUAUACACCAUACUUCAUUUUAUUGAAUUCCUUGAGAUACAUAAGGUUUUUUUCAGCAGCUUAUUCCAUUCAAGAAAUUUAUGCUGGAGUAGGUUGAUAAUUUGUGUUGACUUGAUUUUCAGUAUGCAGUUAAAUAACUGGAGGGCUUACUUAAUGAAUUAAUCUAUCAAUCUGUCUAAUUUGUUGUCAUGUCUCUCACUGUGGCCUAUAGAGUGCCACACAGAAAGACACAAAACAUGUUAAAGAAUAUAGUACAUUUUGUGGGUGAUCAGCCAACUACUUUUAUUAGACCAUUAAAAUCCUGUCUUUACCUUUUCCAGGAGCAAAUAGCUCAGUGUUAAUUUAUCUUCUGUAAAACCUAGAUCUUUUUUUGUGAUGGUUGCUUUCUUUGACAAGUUUAAAAAUAACAUCUGUAUUUUUCACUAUACCAUUCAUGUAUUUAUGCACUUCCUUCAAAUAUUUGCUUCACAUCUUCACAAUGAUCCUAGUUCUCUUUCCAGUUUGUCUUCCCAUAUAAUCAUUGCCUUACACUGACUCAUUUUCAUCAAAUUCUUUUAUCACCUGUUUAAGGGGAUACAUUUGUUGCAUUUGGUAAACAAAAAUGCUGCAUUCCUUGGAUGUCUAAAAGUCCUAUGGACUUUGUAAUAGUAUUUAUGGACACAAAAAAUGAGAAAUUAGGCCAUAGGUGGGAUAUAGCUAUAUGGUAUGUCUCUCUCCCACCACUUCCAAUUAUUUUAUAUUCCUUUCUUCGUUCUAGCUGUACGCAGAUCUGAUAUUCUUAUUUCACUACAAUCUCUUGUGUGACUUUCUUUUAAAGGUUGUAUGAUUAGAUCCAGUUGGUAUAUGUGAGAGCGCCGAGAUGAAACAAUAAUAUUUUACUUUUAGCCAAAUUACAUUAUUCUACAUUCAUGACAGGAUUUGUAGAAUUUCUUAUUUGGUUUUUUGCUUGUCAUUUUGUCACUGGUAAAUUUAACCAGUUAGCUGUCACCUUCCCUCAAAUUGUGGUUUAGGAGAGGUUAUUUGGUAUCGUGGCUCAUCAUCAUUCAUAUUAAUCACAGAACUUAAGUGAUAAUAGGCAAUAUGUUAGUCCAGAUACUGAAUCAAUCCACUGGUAUGUGUAUUUAACAAUGCUAUAAUAGAAGUAGUUACACAUUCCUUCUGUGAGGGAGGCAGCCCUACCUACUAAAAUGACCAUUUAAAUGUAAAGAUGAAAUAUUUAACUGUCUGGCAAGGCAUAUGAGAAAGAAGUGGAAAUAUGCCACAAAGAGCUACACAGGCAUUUCCCAAAGUGUGGGGCACACAAAGGAUCACCUUGUGAGAUGUAGAUGUAUAAAUGAAGAUUGCAGGAGGCAAGACAAAGGGAAGGGGGUGUUCAAGUUUAAAAUAUUUGGGAAAUGCUUCUUUUAAAUAUGGCUUGCAUGAGGAAAUUGGGAAUAAAAGACACGUUCUCGAAACAUGGUGGGCAAAACUAUUAUGCAGUUUGCAGAUAUGAAUUCUGUGUGCCUUUAACUAUUCUGACCUAGUUAUAAACAUGGUUGAAAGUUGUUGUAUGCAUAGGGUCUGUAGUAUGAUUAUUGUUAUCAGCGUUCUGUGGCUUAUUAUAGUUUGACCAAUAUAUUUAGGGAUUUAUUUUUGAGAGCUGGGUCAUAAAGAAAGACUAAAGAGGAAACAUGAUCCAUCUCAGUGACUCCUUGUAGCAGUUAUUUCCAAACAUGGUCAAACCUGGCAUGUCCCAGAUCACAGGGCUUUGGAAUUCCAUGCCACACUUCUAGGAAUUACAUGAAAUUUCACAUUUUAACAAGUGAUGAUGUGAUGGGUGAUCACUUGCGAAUGAGUAAAAUUGUCUUCCAAGGAUCUUAAUAGUGAGUCCGCAAGUGGCUCCAUAGCCCAAUUCUAAGUCUUCAUGUCUGGUUACAGUGAGGACAGGUGUUUCCAGGAGGGAUGGGCAUUGUGUUGUAUUUCCGCGUCAAUAUCUGCCUUUGAUGAAAGAUGGCUUCCAAGAUAGACGAAGCGAUCCACAUUCUCCAGCAAUUCUCCAUUGAUUUGAAUGGAGGGGAGGUUUGUUUCUUCAUUUGGAGCAGGUGGGUAAAAGACUUGCAUUUCUCUGAUGUUUAGAGUUAGGCCAAUACUCUCGUAGCCUUCCAAGAAUACAUUAAGAAUGUUUUGGAGGUCCGUUUCAUGUUAAACAAUGAUAGCAUUGUCCACAUACUGGAGCUCCAUUAUGGAUGUUGUUGUGGUCUUUGUUUUGGACUUGAGUCUGUUGAGGUUGAAGACACAUAAAACAAGUAUUAGAGUCACAAGACUGAAAAGAGAUCCUUAUAACAUUGUACAUGAAAUAAGAUUAUUGUUUUUCUCUCCCAAAGUUUGCAAAUUAUCAACCUACUCCAGCAUAAAUAUCUUUAAUGGAAUAAGCUGCUGAAAAAACCCUUAUGUAUCUCAAGGAAGUGGAUGUGCGCUGUGUGCUGCAGGGUGGGCAUGGGUACUGGCCUCAGCCUCUAGCUCCCCCUAGCUAAAGAUCUGGGAGGAGCUGGGCAGGGUCAGUUUUUCCCAAGUGACACAAUUUGCCCCACACCAAAGUGUAUAUUCAGGCACAUGUGCUGAGGCAGAAAUCUCCGGCACAAAUUUGUGCUGCUGCUGUUUGAGCUGCUGCAAGUGUAGGUGCCUGUAUGUGUGGACACACCCUAAGUGCCCCUGUUUAGGUCAGGAGGAAGCAGAACAUACGUUAACCCUUUGCAGGCAGGCUUUAAGUCCUGCCCCCAUGGCCCAAGCACAGCCAGUAGGGGGGCUUUUGCACACCACCAAAUGUGUCCCAUGGAUUCCCCAGCCUGCCAAAGAUUCCUGAGCAGAGUUAAACAGCCAAUCCAGCCUGAUUGGUUGCCAGUGACAUCACGGCUGCCCACUUGGACCUGAUGUGGCAACAGCUUGUCGUGGCCACAGGUGACUGUCCUGCACAUGACUAUCCAGCAUGCCCUGCACCCACCAAGUGCAUGUGUGGGUGUCAGACACCUGAGUCGUGUGUGUGUGAUUGUGUGUGUGUGUCCAUCAGACCACUGGGUUCUGUGUACAUUUGUAUGCAUAUGUGACUCAGUGUUCGGGACACCUGGGUUCUUUGUGUGUAUCCCAGACACCGGGGUUGUGUAUGUGUUUGACCUCCUACAUGGGGCCCCAGCCAUGUCUCCCCUUUUAAGGACAACAGACCUGUGGCCCUUGCUAAUGCCUGGGGCUCAUAUCAGACAGUCAGCCUGAGCUUGGGAGCUGCCUACUCCUGCCAAAGCAGCAUCGUUUCCUUGCAGCAGGACCUGGGCCCCUGCAUGGGGCCACAGGGAGCAGAAGAGCUCCCCACCCCACUGUGCCUUCUGGGAGUGGAGCAGGGUGGACUAGCAGGGGCUUCUAGGAUCCGCUACCAAAAGCUCCACCAGUUAUUGCCUGGCCGAGGAGCCACACUGUCCCCCCACUUCUGAGCACUCCUGCACCCCUUCAGGACUGACUUGGAACUGCUUGGGAGCUUGUGCCUAUGGGGCAACUGCCAGCAACCCAGGAUUAUGUGCAUUAACACCCUGUUUGGCACUGUGACUCUUAGUUCCACUGCACUGUGGGGUGUCUCCUCCAAAUAGCAGGUGGCCAUCCAGAGCCCCCAGUCAUGCGACUUACUAGCCUAUGUGUAAGUACUCCCCAGCCUGUCCGUUUCCCCUGUACAGAGCCCAAUUUUUUUUCCCAUGCCGGUCUCAUAGCCCCUGGUGACUGGAGUCCAUGGUACAGGGCCUGAGCUCAGAGGCUGCAACUGGAACUUGUAACAUCUCUUCUUCAUUUCACCAGCAUCUUUGUAUACACAUCUUUUGUUCACUCAGCAGCUGUUUGGCCACCCUACCUGGACUCACCAGGCUGGGCAUGACAAGCUGGCCUUCUACACACACGUCGAGCCUGCAGACA
This is a long non-coding RNA of Alligator mississippiensis (American alligator), 5440 nucleotides long. RefSeq lists it as uncharacterized. Lineage: Eukaryota; Metazoa; Chordata; Crocodylia; Alligatoridae. The record is from RefSeq and is a predicted model, not a curated record. The transcript has 3 exons.